Molecule: long non-coding RNA, 1459 nt
Filed under: Rhagoletis pomonella (apple maggot)
Lineage: Eukaryota; Metazoa; Arthropoda; Insecta; Diptera; Tephritidae
Description: uncharacterized LOC118733896
Source: RNAcentral
CACAAAAUACAAAAUUCUUAAAAAAAUAUAUAUUUUCAAAAAAAAAAAAGAAUUAAUUGAGUUCUUAAGAAGAAAUUAUUUCAAUUAAGAGAAAGAAUUAAAAUACUCAACAAAAAAGUAUGAAAUAAAAAUUCGCCAGCAACAAAUCGUUCAACGCAAAAUCGCAUACGCGCUGUGAAAAUUAGAAUCGUGAACAUUUUUUAAGUACUCGAUUAUUUUAAUUGCUAAAAAAUAACAACAAAGAUUAAGCAAAACAAAAUGUUUUUAACACCCGCUUUCAUCGAACGCAUGCAAAGCGAAUACGAAACGCUUCGUCUGCUCAUACCGCCGCUAAAACGUCAAUUCAAGUCGCACGCAUGCAGUGUUGCGUCGCGAAAUGCCGAAAAAAUGUGAUUGGUUUGGGAAAAUUGCAGAAAAUCAUUUUCAUACAGGCGGAAAUUUAUUAAAAAUCAUUAUUCAUUACUACGGAAAUCCAAAUAGGCUGCACGGGAUCACAAACCACCAUCGCAAAUAAAACUUUGAAAUACUACAGUCGAAGUAAAGCAGCGCUGAAGAAUGUGAGGCCAAAAAAUGAGCUAUACAGCAAAAGUUACAGAAAAGUGUGAAAAGUGAAAAUCAAGCAAAAAUUUACAACAAAAUUGGAAAAAAGCGAAAAAAUCCAAACCAAAUUGUGAAUGUAUUAACUAUUGAAAACUGUUUCGAUAAACCCCCAUUGAGCUAUAAACUACGAAAAAUUUGUGAAAUUUCAGAUAAAAAAUUGAAAAUAAAACAAACUAAAAAAAUUGUGCAAAAAAAAUUGUUCUAAUAAAAAACAAACGAAAACAAUUCUGGAAAACUUGUGCGCUGCUGCUGAAACACACAAAAAAACAGCAAUAAAAGCAACAGGAUUUAUAAGUAAAAGUGAAACUCUAUAAAAAAAUAAUCUUCUAGAAACCCGGAUUUGACAACAACAGCGCAGACAUUUUCUAAUACUGAUUGAGACUGUUGUGAUUGGUUCAAAACAUUUAACGUUGAAAGCAAAAAAAUUACGCGCCACUGCUUUUUCAUGUUUCUGUAAAUUCUGCUGCGUGAAAAAAAGAACGAACUAAAACAGUUGCAGCAAAAAACGUAAACAAAAUUACUAAAUUUAGUUUUUGUUGGUGAUGUGUUCGCACAGCGUAAUCUGUGCAAAAAAAAACAUUGUACCUACAAAAGAAGUGAAAAAAGUGCGGCGAUUAACAUUAACUGAACAAUUAAUUUUUCCACUAGUUUAUGCAAAAAAAAAGUAAAAAAUGAAAUAAAAACUGCAACUUUGACACGGCGAAAACACGAUAAAACAAUUGUAAAACAUUUCGCAUAGUUUUGCUAAAAAAAGACCGAAAAUUUAUAAACAAAAACAUAAAAAAAUUGAGUUAAGAAAGUCGAAACCAGCAGCACAUAAAUACAUACUAAGAAAUAAUAAAAUAAAAAGCCACUUUAU